Molecule: ribosomal RNA, 494 nt
Filed under: uncultured bacterium
Lineage: Bacteria
Description: partial 16S ribosomal RNA
Rfam family: Bacterial small subunit ribosomal RNA
Source: RNAcentral
GACGAACGCUGGCGGCGUGCUUAACGCAUGCAAGUCGAACGGUGAAGCGCCUUCCUUUUUGGUGGGUGUGGAUGAGUGGCGAACGGGUGAGUAACACGUGAGUAACCUGCCCCCUUCUUCUGGAUAACCGCAUGAAAGUGUGGCUAAUACGGGAUAUUCUGGGUCUGUCGCAUGAUGGGUCUGGGAAAGAUAUUGUUUCGGUGGGGGAUGGGCUCGCGGCCUAUCAGCUUGUUGGUGGGGUGAUGGCCUACCAAGGCGGUGACGGGUAGCCGGCCUGAGAGGGUGGACGGUCACACUGGGAAUGAGACACGGCCCAGACUCCUACGGGAGGCAGCAGUGGGGAAUAUUGCACAAUGGGCGCAAGCCUGAUGCAGCGACGCCGCGUGAGGGAUGGAGGCCUUCGGGUUGUGAACCUCUUUCGCCAGUGAAGCAGGCCUGCCUCGUUUGUGGGUGGGUUGACGGUAGCUGGAUAAGAAGCGCCGGCUAACUACGUG